GAGAUUCCCCUAGUAACGGCGAGCGAACGGGGAUGAGCCCAUCGCCCAACCCGACGCCCUCUUGGGCGCUCCGGGGAUUUGGCGUAUGGGAGAGACGCCUCCGGGAACCGGCUCCGGUGCAAGUCCCCGUGACUGGGGCUCCCACCCCGAGAGGGUGCAAGGCCCGUAGCGGCCGGCGGCCGGCCCCGGAUGUCCUCUCCUGGGAGUCGGGUUGCUUGAGAGUGCAGCCCUAAUCAGGUGGUAAACUCCAUCUAAGGCUAAAUACGACCUCGAGACCGAUAGCGAACAAGUACCGUGAGGGAAAGUUGAAAAGGACUUUGAAGAGAGAGUUCAAGAGUACGUGAAACCGUUCGGAGGCAAACGAGUGGGCCCUCGAAGGAAGGCGGCGGGGGGACUCAGCCGACGGCGCCCGGGUGGCUCCCGCGGCCCGCUUCCCCGAAAAGGGACGGGCCCGGGCGGCAGGGCAGUCCCGGGGCAGUCGGCGCAUUUCCCCUCGUCCUCUGACGCUGCGACCGGUCGGGUGCGCCACGAGCAGUCGGCCUUACUCGCGGGGUACGGUGGGUAGCCGGGCGACGCCUCGGCGUCGUUCCGGUGUCUAGCCGCCCCGCAAUCGCGGCCGUUCACCCGACCGCAGGACACGGCCCCCAGGGGCCCCGUCGCGUCCUCCCAGGGGAGGGAGCGCAUCUUUCCGCCGGAAGGGACGUCGUCGUACAUGCGUCGUAUUCACCCAAGCGUGUGCGGCGUGCGGCGACGCCCGCUGGCCGGCGGAUUAGCGCGCGGACGCGUGCGGUCCGCAGCGAGUAGGUCGGUCACCCACUCGACCCGUCUUGAAACACGGACCAAGGAGUUUAGCAUGCACGCAAGUCAUUGGGUCUUGCUCAGGCCCAAGGGCGCAAUGAAAGUGAAGGUCGGCUUACCGCCGUCCGCGUUGGGAUCCGGGGGCCGGGGGGCCUCCGGCGCACCAACGGCUCGUCCGGGCCGCCGCGUCGGCCGGGCGAAGCGAGAGCGUGCACGCUGAGACCCGAAAGAUGGUGAACUAUGGCUGGGCAGGACGAAGCCAGAGGAAACUCUGGUGGAGGUCCGCAGCGGUUCUGACGUGCAAAUCGAUCGUCAGACCUGGCUAUAGGGGCGAAAGACCAAUCGAAUCAUCUAGUAG
RNAcentral lists this ribosomal RNA (1156 nucleotides) under Erebomaster acanthinus. Its description in RNAcentral is "eukaryotic LSU rRNA". It matches the Rfam family "Eukaryotic large subunit ribosomal RNA", at positions 71 to 950 of the family's 3401-position model. Lineage: Eukaryota; Metazoa; Arthropoda; Arachnida; Opiliones; Cladonychiidae. The record is from RNAcentral.